Molecule: ribosomal RNA, 493 nt
Filed under: uncultured bacterium
Lineage: Bacteria
Description: partial 16S ribosomal RNA
Rfam family: Bacterial small subunit ribosomal RNA
Source: RNAcentral
AUUGAACGCUGGCGGCAUGCCUUACACAUGCAAGUCGAACGGUAACAGGUUAAGCUGACGAGUGGCGAACGGGUGAGUAAUAUAUCGGAACGUGCCCAGUCGUGGGGGAUAACGUAGCGAAAGCUACGCUAAUACCGCAUACGAACUACGGAUGAAAGCGGGGGAUCGCAAGACCUCGCGCGAUUGGAGCGGCCGAUAUCAGAUUAGGUUGUUGGUGAGGCAAAAGUUGACCAAGCCUGCGAUCUGUAGCUGGUCUGAGAGGACGACCAGCCACACUGGAACUGAGACACGGUCCAGACUCCUACGGGAGGCAGCAGUGGGGAAUUUUGGACAAUGGACGCAAGUCUGAUCCAGCAAUGCCGCGUGCAGGACGAAGGCCUUCGGGUUGUAAACUGCUUUUGUACGGAACGAAACGGUGAGCUCUAAUACAGUUUGCUAAUGACGGUACCGUAAGAAUAAGCACCGGCUAACUACGUGCCAGCCGCCGCGGUAA